Non-coding RNA from Pelobates cultripes (western spadefoot toad), 336 nucleotides. The record is from the annotation of a GenBank genome assembly. Lineage: Eukaryota; Metazoa; Chordata; Amphibia; Anura; Pelobatidae.
CACGCAUGUAUCUAAAUAUCAAAGUGUGUCCAUUACUGAUUUAUUUAUUGUUGUAGGACAUGCCUCUUCCAGGUAUAUUCCCUGAAUCACAUGAAACCCAUAGAUCAGGAAGAUAAAUGUUUAAAAUUGGAUGUUCUAAAAAAAACGAACUUAUUUGCCAUGUAAUUGAUCAGACAUGGUUUCGGUUUGUAAAGGAUAGCUUUAGAUGUGAAACUUAGGACACAAAUCAAGAAGAAAGGUCUCUUCAUCAUACUUGAUAGAGAUAACGACUGAUGUGAAAGACGUCUCACAGGGAACGUAGCAGUGCACAAAUUACUUAAUGUGUGACAGUGGAAU